UGCUAGCACAUGUGGAAACCCUUGCUCCUUUGGAGAUCAAUUUAAUCUCAUCCCUUACUAAUUAGCUAGCCCAAUUUGGUGGACAUUUGGGUAAAGUCAUUCCACCUAGAAAGAGUCCAAAUUAGGGUGCUACAUCCAAUGUUAACACCAAAAAUGAAGAGUCCAAAUUGUGAAGGACUCUUGGCACAAAAUAGGUUUUGCAUGCAAGUGUGGGCAUGGG
Molecule: long non-coding RNA, 220 nt
Filed under: Elaeis guineensis (African oil palm)
Lineage: Eukaryota; Viridiplantae; Streptophyta; Magnoliopsida; Arecales; Arecaceae
Description: long non-coding RNA (EGUI_LNC059825)
Source: RNAcentral